This 29-nucleotide small RNA is filed under the name Bombyx mori (domestic silkworm). Its description in RNAcentral is "ovarian small RNA-10073". The record is from RNAcentral. Lineage: Eukaryota; Metazoa; Arthropoda; Insecta; Lepidoptera; Bombycidae.
AAAGCUGAGAGCCUUGAGAGGCUAUGUCA